RNAcentral lists this ribosomal RNA (386 nucleotides) under Enterococcus faecium. Its description in RNAcentral is "bacterial SSU rRNA". It matches the Rfam family "Bacterial small subunit ribosomal RNA", at positions 1157 to 1533 of the family's 1533-position model. Lineage: Bacteria; Bacillati; Bacillota; Bacilli; Lactobacillales; Enterococcaceae. The record is from RNAcentral.
GACAAACCGGAGGAAGGUGGGGAUGACGKCAAAUCAUCAUGCCCCUUAUGACCUGGGCUACACACGUGCUACAAUGGGAAGUACAACGAGUUGCGAAGUCGCGAGGCUAAGCUAAUCUCUUAAAGCUUCUCUCAGUUCGGAUUGCAGGCUGCAACUCGCCUGCAUGAAGCCGGAAUCGCUAGUAAUCGCGGAUCAGCACGCCGCGGUGAAUACGUUCCCGGGCCUUGUACACACCGCCCGUCACACCACGAGAGUUUGUAACACCCGAAGUCGGUGAGGUAACCUUUUUGGAGCCAGCCGCCUAAGGUGGGAUAGAUGAUUGGGGUGAAGUCGUAACAAGGUAGCCGUAUCGGAAGGUGCGGCUGGAUCACCUCCUUUCUAAGGAA